Molecule: ribosomal RNA, 468 nt
Filed under: uncultured bacterium
Lineage: Bacteria
Description: partial 16S ribosomal RNA
Rfam family: Bacterial small subunit ribosomal RNA
Source: RNAcentral
GACGAACGCUGGCGGCGUGCUUAACACAUGCAAGUCGAACGGAAAAGCCCUGCUUUUGUGGGGUGCUCGAGUGGCGAACGGGUGAGUAACACGUGAGUAACCUGCCCUUGACUUUGGGAUAACUUCAGGAAACUGGGGCUAAUACCGGAUAGGAGCUCCUGCUGCAUGGUGGGGGUUGGAAAGUUUCGGCGGUUGGGGAUGGACUCGCGGCUUAUCAGCUUGUUGGUGGGGUAGUGGCUUACCAAGGCUUUGACGGGUAGCCGGCCUGCGAGGGUGACCGGCCACAUUGGGACUGAGAUACGGCCCAGACUCCUACGGGAGGCAGCAGUGGGGAAUAUUGCACAAUGGGCGGAAGCCUGAUGCAGCAACGCCGCGUGCGGGAUGACGGCCUUCGGGUUGUAAACCGCUUUCGCCUGUGACGAAGCGUGAGUGACGGUAAUGGGUAAAGAAGCACCGGCUAACUACGUG